This 254-nucleotide ribosomal RNA is filed under the name uncultured bacterium. RNAcentral's name for it is "partial 16S ribosomal RNA". It matches the Rfam family "Bacterial small subunit ribosomal RNA", at positions 524 to 776 of the family's 1533-position model. The record is from RNAcentral.
UACGGAGGGUGCAAGCGUUAUCCGGAAUCACUGGGUUUAAAGGGUGCGUAGGCGGUUAGUUAAGUCAGUUGUGAAAUUCCCUCGCUUAACGAGUGGGACUGCGAUUGAUACUGAUUAACUUGAAUCAGGUUGAGGUAGGCGGAAUGAGACAUGUAGCGGUGAAAUGCAUAGAUAUGUCUUAGAACACCGAUUGCGAAGGCAGCUUGCUGGACCUGUAUUGACGCUGAGGCACGAAAGCGUGGGGAGCAAACAGG